CCUACGGGUGGCUGCAGUGGGGAAUAUUGCACAAUGGGCGAAAGCCUGAUGCAGCAACGCCGCGUGAAGGAAGAAGGGUUUCGGUACGUAAACCUCUAUCAACAGGGACGAAAGAAAUGACGGUACCUGAAUAAGAAGCCCCGGCUAACUACGUGCCAGCAGCCGCGGUAAUACGUAGGGGGCAAGCGUUAUCCGGAAUUACUGGGUGUAAAGGGUGAGUAGGCGGCAAGGGAAGUCUGAAGUGAAAGCCUUGGGCUUAACCCGAGGAUUGCUCUUGAAACUAUCAAGCUAGAGUACAGGAGAGGAAGGCGGAAUUCCUAGUGUAGCGGUGAAAUGCGUAGAUAUUAGGAAGAACACCAGUGGCGAAGGCGGCUUGCUGGACUGAAACUGACGCUGAGGCACGAAAGCGUGGGGAGCGAACAGGAUUAGAUACCCUUGUAGUC
This 443-nucleotide ribosomal RNA is filed under the name uncultured bacterium. RNAcentral describes it as "partial 16S ribosomal RNA". It matches the Rfam family "Bacterial small subunit ribosomal RNA", at positions 338 to 795 of the family's 1533-position model. The record is from RNAcentral.